UUUUUAAGAUGAUUUUUAUUUAAUGCAAUGAAUGCAUCGAAAUGCAAAUAUUAGCUCUGAUAUUAUAGUUUAUUAAAUAAAUAAAAGACAAAUUUUGAACAAUAUAAAAUGUUGUUACGUUAUUGAACUCGACUGUGUUUUUUCCAAAACAAUGUGUACAUGACUUCACACAUUAUAACCUUGAAUUGAAAAAAAGAUUUUACGAUAUCCUGUCGCGUUCAAGCAUUUAUUGUUCUUUAAUUAAGCGUAAAAUGCCUAAGCGUAGCAAAAAAACUGAUCAAAAGAAUAGUGUUGGUGGAAAUAAAAAGAAGCAGCAGGGAGCAGCAAUCUAGUUGGAUCUAGUGAUUUUAGUGGCUUUGCUACGACCUCAGCACUGCCUCAAUCAGUAAAACCAAAUCGUUUCACCAUAUAUACUCCGCUACCGAAUCAAGCUUGUUCAUCCAAUCGAUCUGGUAAAUUGAAUGAUCCUUUGACUGUUCUGGAACGAUGUUUUCCUGUCUGAAAAAGACUUUUACGACUGAUCCAAAUAUUAACGUAACCGUGAAGCAACUGGAAGAUAUAGACAGAGAAUCGAAGAGCGUUGGACAGUUUGUGCAGAAUCUGGCUUUGCUGAUGUACGGAGCUGAAGCCUUGCGAGAAAUGUCGGUUACUGGUCGCAAAUACGCACAAUCUACAGAUAAAUUAAUAAGACCGGCAAUAGACGAAGCUAAGCUGCAAUUUAUCUACA
Malaya genurostris is the source of this 727-nucleotide long non-coding RNA. RefSeq lists it as uncharacterized. The record is from RefSeq and is a predicted model, not a curated record. Lineage: Eukaryota; Metazoa; Arthropoda; Insecta; Diptera; Culicidae. The transcript has 2 exons.